This 213-nucleotide non-coding RNA is filed under the name Bacillus thermozeamaize. Lineage: Bacteria; Bacillati; Bacillota; Bacilli; Caryophanales; Bacillaceae. The record is from RNAcentral.
GCAUAUUGUGUAGAAACAGGUGCGGGUCAAACGAUAAUGUUUGGUUUAGGCCCGCUUAAAAGGGAAGUCCGGUGAAAAUCCGGCGCGGUCCCGCCACUGUGAAUGGGAGCGACCUGAGAAGAGCCACUGUGGAAACCGUUUCGAGUAUUCCAUGGGAAGGUUCAGGGAGCGAUGAACAUGAGCCAGGAGACCUGCCUGUUUCAUGACACACCA